UUAAUUUCGAACGAUUUUAUUUUCUUUGUACACUGUAGCAUGGUUUAUAGAAAAAUUACAAUCAGAAAAAAAUGAUUUAUAAAAAAAAAUAUUAGAUCUUCUUCUACAAAGUUAUUUAUUAAUUAUAACUUUUCAAUAAACCCAGCUUGUGUGUAUACUGUUUGAGGUGUGUGUGCGUGUGUGUGUGUGUGUGUAAUGAGUGUGUGUGUGAGUGACACAUUAAAUCACAUAAUAUGCAUAGAGAAAAAUGUGUAAUCAAGAACGUUUUAUCCGUGCUACCACAAGUAUAUUGAAAUUUGUAUAGAUAGAUUCAUUUCUUAAUUACAACCUUAACUUUUUUGACAUAUAAGUAUUAAGUUUUUAUCCUACGCAUCUACAUGCAUCAUACAUUAAUUUCAAGUCAAACAAUUGGUCAGACGUAAAGAUAAACGUCAUACAAACAAUUAUAUAUAUGAUAUAUAUAUAUAUAUAUAUAAUGCUUCAAUUUCUCUGCAACAAUACUACAAUCAAAAACAAUUUUGAUCAGUGUAAACAAUUUAUUUUACAUAAGAUCAAUACUCUGACAUCAAAAAAGCGAUAAGAAUGGAUAAUGUAUAGUAAUAAAUAAAGUAUGAAAUGUAAAUAAUGGGUAUUUACAAGUAUGUAAAUGGCAAAAAAGCUAUAACAGAGACAAAAUAAUUGUUUUAUUUUUUGUAAAUAUAAUCUCGUAUGUAUUUGCAAUAGAUUCUGUCGCUUGUUUGCAAAAAUACAUCUCACGAUAAUAUUCGUGUUAUGUCAAACCUGUACACUUAAAACCUAAAAAACGUACAAUCCACAACACGUACCAACAUGUAAGAUACCAAUGUAUCUUUCGCAGCAAACAUGUGACAGAUUCAAU
Molecule: long non-coding RNA, 877 nt
Organism: Apis florea (little honeybee)
Lineage: Eukaryota; Metazoa; Arthropoda; Insecta; Hymenoptera; Apidae
Source: RefSeq, a predicted model, not a curated record